This 599-nucleotide ribosomal RNA is filed under the name uncultured Methanomicrobiales archaeon. RNAcentral describes it as "bacterial SSU rRNA". It matches the Rfam family "Archaeal small subunit ribosomal RNA", at positions 319 to 922 of the family's 1478-position model. Lineage: Archaea; Methanobacteriati; Methanobacteriota; Methanomicrobia; Methanomicrobiales. The record is from RNAcentral.
GGCCCUACGGGGCGCAGCAGGCGCAAAAACUUUACAAUGCGAGCAAUCGUGAUAAGGAAACCCUGAGUGCCUGUUAUCACAGGCUGUUCUGGUGUCUAACACACACCAGGAGAAAGGGCGGGGCAAGACCGGUGCCAGCCGCCGCGGUAAUACCGGCUGCUCGAGUGAUAGCCACUUUUACUGGGCUUAAAGCGUUCGUAGCUUGGUCGUUAAGUCUCUGGGGAAAUCUUUUGGCUCAACCAAAAGGCGUCUCAGGGAAACUGGCGACCUAGGAACCGGGAGAGGUAAGACGUACUUCGGGGGUAGAAGUGAAAUCUUGUAAUCCCCGAAGGACGACCGAUGGCGAAGGCAUCUUACCAGAACGGCUUCGACAGUGAGGGACGAAAGCUGGGGGAGCAAACCGGAUUAGAUACCCGGGUAGUCCCAGCCGUAAACGAUGUGCGUUAGGUGUGUCAGCGACCACGAGUCGCUGAGGUGCCGAAGGGAAACCGUGAAACGCACCGCCUGGGAAGUACGGUCGCAAGGCUGAAACUUAAAGGAGUUGGCGGGGGAGCACCACAACGGGUGGAGCCUGCGGUUUAAUUGGAUUCAACGCCGGG